GACGAACUUUGGCGGCGUGCUUAACACAUGCAAGUCGAACGGAAAGGCCCUGCUUUUGUGGGGUGCUCGAGUGGCGAACGGGUGAGUAACACGUGAGUAACCUGCCCUUGACUUUGGGAUAACUUCAGGAAACUGGGGCUAAUACCGGAUAGGAGCUCCUGCUGCAUGGUGGGGGUUGGAAAGUUUCGGCGGUUGGGGAUGGACUCGCGGCUUAUCAGCUUGUUGGUGGGGUAGUGGCUUACCAAGGCUUUGACGGGUAGCCGGCCUGAGAGGGUGACCGGCCACACUGGGACUGAGAUACGGCCCAGACUCCUACGGGAGGCAGCAGUGGGGAAUAUUGCACAAUGGGCGGAAGCCUGAUGCAGCAACGCCGCGUGCGGGAUGACGGCCUUCGGGUUGUAAACCGCUUUCGCCUGUGACGAAGCGUGAGUGACGGUAAUGGGUAAAGAAGCACCGGCUAACUACGUGCCAGCAGCCGCGGUGAUACGUAGGGUGCGAGCGUUGUCCGGAUUUAUUGGGCGUAAAGGGCUCGUAGGUGGUUGAUCGCGUCGGAAGUGUAAUCUUGGGGCUUAACCCUGAGCGUGCUUUCGAUACGGGUUGACUUGAGGAAGGUAGGGGAGAAUGGAAUUCCUGGUGGAGCGGUGGAAUGCGCAGAUAUCAGGAGGAACACCAGUGGCGAAGGCGGUUCUCUGGGCCUUUCCUGACGCUGAGGAGCGAAAGCGUGGGGAGCGAACAGGCUUAGAUACCCUGGUAGUCCACGCUGUAAACGGUGGGUACUAGGUGUGGGGUCCAUUCCACGGGUUCCGUGCCGUAGCUAACGCUUUAAGUACCCCGCCUGGGGAGUACGGCCGCAAGGCUAAAACUCAAAGGAAUUGACGGGGCCCCGCACAAGCGGCGGAGCAUGCGGAUUAAUUCGAUGCAACGCGUAGAACCUUACCUGGGUUUGACAUGGAUCGGGAGUGCUCAGAGAUGGGUGUGCCUCUUUUGGGGUCGGUUCACAGGUGGUGCAUGGCUGUCGUCAGCUCGUGUCGUGAGAUGUUGGGUUAAGUCCCGCAACGGGCGCAACCCUUGUUCACUGUUGCCAGCACGUUAUGGUGGGGACUCAGUGGAGACCGCCGGGGUCAACUCGGAGGAAGGUGGGGAUGACGUCAAGUCAUCAUGCCCCUUAUGUCCAGGGCUUCACGCAUGCUACAAUGGCUGGUACAGAGAGUGGCGAGCCUGUGAGGGUGAGCGAAUCUCGGAAAGCCGGUCUCAGUUCGGAUUGGGGUCUGCAACUCGACCUCAUGAAGUCGGAGUCGCUAGUAAUCGCAGAUCAGCAACGCUGCGGUGAAUACGUUCCCGGGGCU
Molecule: ribosomal RNA, 1346 nt
Filed under: uncultured bacterium
Lineage: Bacteria
Description: partial 16S ribosomal RNA
Rfam family: Bacterial small subunit ribosomal RNA
Source: RNAcentral